GAUUUCACGUUUGAGGCUAAGACCGGGUCCUUUACGGGGCUCUGCGUCCCAAUCCUCUACGUUCCUAGCCCGGAUGCUUUCUGGCGUUCUUAAAUGGGCGCCGGGGGGUGUUUGGGAUCAUUUACUGUGAAAAAAUUAGAGUGUUUCAAGCAGGCUUUAUGCUAUGAAUACAUUAGCAUGGAAUAAUAAUUUAGGACUUCGGUUCUAUUUUGUUGGUUUCUAGGACUGAAGUAAUGAUUGAUAGGGAUAGUUGGGGGUGCUAGUAUUCAGCGGCCAGAGGUGAAAUUCUCGGAUUCGCUGAAGACUAACUUAUGCGAAAGCAUU
Molecule: ribosomal RNA, 324 nt
Filed under: uncultured Sandonidae
Lineage: Eukaryota; Cercozoa; Glissomonadida; Viridiraptoridae
Description: SSU rRNA
Rfam family: Eukaryotic small subunit ribosomal RNA (bases 115-324)
Source: RNAcentral